GGGGAUAUGGUUUAGUGGUAUAAUGCUUCCUUAGCAGCGUUAAGUUGCCUUGAUUGGAAGAGGUCCCGAGUUCGAUUCUUGGUGUCUCCA
Molecule: transfer RNA, 90 nt
Rfam family: tRNA
About the family: Transfer RNA (tRNA) molecules are approximately 80 nucleotides in length. Their secondary structure includes four short double-helical elements and three loops (D, anti-codon, and T loops).
Source: Rfam